GGCUGUCUGACAUUUUGGUAUCUUUCAUCUGACCAUCCAUAUCAAAUGUUCCCAUUCAAACAUUACCGAGCAUCAUGGUUUACGAUUAAAAAAACUGGUCCUUAUGUCUACUGGCACUUUGAAUCUUUUAUGCCAUGAUAUUGUAGCAGUAUCAUGAGGAUUCUAUGGAAAAUUGGGAUAGUCUCUGUGAUCAAAGCUAAAAUAAAGGACAAGCAACGUGCCUUGUGGGUUUUGGAAAGGUUACUUCUUAACAGUCUUUUUCCCCUCACCCAGAAACUUUCUAGCAGUAUGACAGUUACUUACGUGAAAAGCAGUACCCAAAUGCUUUAUUUUAAACAGAUUCACAUUAACCAGUAUAAUUUUUUAGAUUCUUUAGCGUUAGUAUAAGUCUCUAAAUCAGCUUCCAGUUGUGUUUCAUCUCCUUCACCUGCAUUUUAUUUGAUGUUUGAAGAAAGGAAAGAGGAAAGCAAAUAUGAUUUGUACUGUUUGUACUAAAUCUUGGGGAUUUGUUGGUAAAUUUAUUUCAGGGUAAAGUAUAAGAAAAACAAAGACUAGUUUCUUAGACUGAAGGUCUAAGUGAUUUAUAAUACAUUUGACUUAUGAUGGCUUGUUCACUCUUUCAAAUGAAUUUUGCUUUGAAAACAAAUGAAGAGCAGCUCUCCUCCUUCCCUCCACUAAGUGUUCAGGUGUGACAUGUUCAGGUGAUUCUGCUGGAUUCCAGCUGGAGCAGUUUGCUACCCUUCUGUUCCUGCGGUUGGUUUGUUCCUUUCUUUUAUCCACCAAAGUGGACGCAAACAACAUGAUCCCAAAGACAUGCCUAGUUAAAUCCAGCUGAUUGGAGACCAGAAAAUUUGUAAAUGGAUGGUUUGAUGUUACUGCAAAUAAAAGAAAGGGCCUGGGAAUUCUUUUGAUUCCAUCUCUACUUUGUUUAAGUCUCAUUUUGUGCCUUAAAUAUCUGCAACGUUUUAUCAUGUCUCAACUCAGUGACUGACAAGCAACACGAUACAGUGCAACACAUCAGGGUUUAUACCCUGAAGUACUGAGGAGCACCUCCCUCAAGCAAUGCCAUGUGGGAACUUGCAGUGUUUUCUGUAUUCUCUGUAUAACCAUAAUCCAGAGCGUGGGAUUUAGAAGGAAGGGAGAAUUUUAAUUUCAUUUGGACAAUGGCCACUAUUUCCAUUCUCUAAAAAUCCAGAAGACGACAGGCUGGAAGUGACAUUGCUGAAUUACACUAGUUAAUUCAGUGUAUAUAGUAGCGAGUACUCCUUACAAACAAACUCAGCCAGUGUUCCCAGUGUGCUCAGUGCUGUCUGUAGCUUUGGUAGGACAGCUUGAGGCUUGUUACUCAAAGUGAUUCCUUAAGUACAAAUUACUCAUUAAGCUAAAAAAAAAAAUAACUGGUUGCCCUCUUAUAAAACUGCAGUGAACUGUGUUUUGACUGACCGGUGUGUCAAGAGCUCAUGGAGUCCCCUUUUUAGCAUCAAAAAACCUUUCCAUAUAUUUUGAAACCCGCCGUUUGCCUCCAUGUGCAUUAGUCUGUUAAUGAUGGUUUAGAUCUCUGCCUCUAACAUAAUGUGACCUUGAGAAAGUUUUUAACUGAGCCUAGAUUUCAUCUAUAAAAAUAGAGAUACAUAGCCAGGUUGUCCUAAGGAUUAGAUCAGAUAAAAUGUAAAGAAGCUGUAAAUGUUAGUAUGUUACCAAUUUUUUAAUUCACCAAAGACAGCAUUUGCUACACAUGUAAGAAUUUUACAACAUUGCAUUUACUCACUUCAAAAACAAAAGUAGGGGGCUUCCCUGGUGUCACAGUGGUUGAGAGUCUGCCUGCUGAUGCGGGGGACGCGGGUUCAUGCCCCAGUCCGGGAAGAUCCCACAUGCCACGGAGCGGCUGGGCCCAUGAGCCAUGGCCGCUAAGCCUGCGCAUCCAAAGCCUGUGCUCCGCAACGGGAGAGGCCACAACAGUGAGAGGCCCGCGUACCGCAAAAAAAAAGUAGGAUUUAAGAUGCUGUCUGAAGGGACUUCCCUGGUGGUCUAGUGAGUAAAGACUGCUCCCAAUGCACGGGCCGGGGGUUUGAUCCCUGGUCAGGGAACUAGCUCCCACAUGCCGCAACUAAGAGUCCGCAUGCCACAAGGAAGAACCCAUGUGCCACAGCUAAGACCCAGUGUAGCCAAAAGAAUAAAUAAAUAUUUAAAAAUAAGUGAAUAAAUGCUGUCUGCAUAUAUACCCUCAUUUGGGAGUAGAUACGCUCUGUCUAAAGAAGUUAUUAAUUAAAUCCAAGAUACAAAUUAAUAAAAAAAAGCAGAAAUUAAUGAACUAAUGACUUGAUUAGUAAGACUAAAACCUUCUUAACUCUAAAAAUAGCUCUCCAGGCCUCUCAGCUUCUGAGAUGGCCCACACUUUGUGGAGUGUGUUUCUUCCAUGGCCGCUGGAGCCUGAGACAGACUGUGUUCUGUCUAUGGAAUGUGCAUCUCUAAAUAAAUCCACUUCUUACCUAUC
RNAcentral lists this long non-coding RNA (2494 nucleotides) under Phocoena sinus (vaquita). Its description in RNAcentral is "lncRNA (ENSPSNG00000014640.1)". Lineage: Eukaryota; Metazoa; Chordata; Mammalia; Artiodactyla; Phocoenidae. The record is from RNAcentral.